This is a long non-coding RNA of Pectinophora gossypiella (pink bollworm), 348 nucleotides long. RefSeq lists it as uncharacterized. The transcript has 2 exons. Lineage: Eukaryota; Metazoa; Arthropoda; Insecta; Lepidoptera; Gelechiidae. The record is from RefSeq and is a predicted model, not a curated record.
GAAGAGGCCUUCUUCAAUAGCAAGUAUUACCAUUCAUUGCAUGUUAUGUUGGUUUGUGAUGGAGAUAUGUGCAUUACAUUUGUGAUGCAUCCAAUGGGAGUGUUAGUGCUAGACUGCUAGCCAAGAUAACCAUAUUUGGAACAACAGCACUUUGAGAAGGGAAAAGGAACAUCUCCUUAAUUUAAAUAUGUUUAAGUUCAUUAAGUGGACUUGUGUGGUCCUUGAAAUGUAAAUUACAAAGUCAGUGUGGUGUAAUCAAAAGUGGCAGAUUUGUUAUUCAAUAAUACAACAUCUAAACAAACCUUUCUUUAUUGGCAUCAAAUAAACUAUUUUCAUUACGCAGAUUUA